GAUGUACGCUGGCGGCGUGCCUAACACAUGCAAGUCGAACGGAGUCCAGCCUUUAAGACCUUCGGGUCAAAGAGGGGAAGACUGAGUGGCGGACGGGUGAGUAACACGUGGGCAACCUGGCUCAUAGAGGGGGAUAACAGAGAGAAAUUUCUGCUAAUACCGCAUAAGCACACACUGCCGCAUGGCAGAGGGUGAAAAGAGAAUCGCUAUGAGAUGGACCCGCGUCUGAUUAGCCAGUUGGCAGGGUAAGAGCCUACCAAAGCGACGAUCAGUAGCCGAUCUGAGAGGAUGAACGGCCACAUUGGGACUGAGACACGGCCCAAACUCCUACGGGAGGCAGCAGUGGGGGAUAUUGCACAAUGGGGGGAACCCUGAUGCAGCGACGCCGCGUGAGUGAAGAAGUAUUUCGGUAUGUAAAGCUCUAUCAGCAGGGAAGAUAAUGACAGUACCUGAAUAAGAAGCCCCGGCUAACUACGUG
Molecule: ribosomal RNA, 478 nt
Filed under: uncultured bacterium
Lineage: Bacteria
Description: partial 16S ribosomal RNA
Rfam family: Bacterial small subunit ribosomal RNA
Source: RNAcentral